This is a non-coding RNA of Rattus norvegicus (Norway rat), 18397 nucleotides long. The record is from RefSeq and is a predicted model, not a curated record. NCBI's taxonomy places the organism in Eukaryota, Metazoa, Chordata, Mammalia, Rodentia, Muridae.
GACUAAAGGCAUGCCAUGUUAUAUACAUCCAGCUGACUUUUUUCUUUUUUAUAGCUUUAUUGAACUAUAAUUCAUUUUUUUAAAGGUGUAUUUAUUUUAUGUGUACACUAGCUGUCUUCAUGCACACCAGAAGAGGGCGUCAGAUCUCAUUACAGAUGGUUGUGAGCCACCAUGUGGUUGCUGAGAAGUGAACUCAGGACCUCUGGAAGAGCAGUCAGUGCUCUUAACCGCUGAGCCAUCUCUCCAGCCCCCUUGAACUAUAAUUCAUAUACUACACAUGUGUUUUUCAGCCAGGCAUGGUAAGUCUCAUCUGGAAUCCUACCACUCAGAGGGCUAAGGCAGGAGGAUUGUCAUGAAUUUAAAGCCAACCUUGGUCUUCAUAUUGAGUUCCAGGUUAACUUAUGCUGCAGAGGAAAAAAAUUUCUCAAAAUAGCCAAAGUGCUACCUCUCCUGACAAUAACAAAACACACAUUUCAAAGCCUGCUAGCAUAUUCACAGAUGUGGUCAACGAUGACCACACUCAAUGGCGUAAGAUUCUCGAUCCCUCAAAUCCAAAUGAAACCCUGCAGUUUUCGGCUGUCACCACCUACCUUUCCAUCCCCUAUAAUCCUAAACAGUUUCUAAUCUACUUUCUGGCUGUGUAGACUUGUAAGGAGGGGACCUUCCCCACACACAAAUAGAUUUCUCUGGUCUAGACUCAUGACAACGGAAUCAUAUAAAAUGCACAUUUUCAAAGUUCAUACACAGUACAUAUAUCAGCAUUACAUACCUUUAUUAACAAUAUCUCAUUGUAUAGAGGUAGAAUAUUGUAAUUAUCCAUUCCUUUAUUUUAUUUUAUUUUUUUGAGACAGGGUUUCUCUGUUUAGCCCUGGCUGUCCUGGAACUCACACUGUAGAUCAGGCUGGCCCCAAACUCAGAGAUCUGCCUGCCUCUGCUAGAAUUAAAGGCAACCCCCAGCUAUAAUUAUCCUUUCUUAUCAAUUGGUGAGAACCAGGGCUAUUUCUGACUUGGGGUGGCUAUUAAUAAAAAUAAAUAAUAAAUUUAUAUACAGGGUUUUACAUAGAUGUACGUUCUGCCUCUGAAGUUUACAAUGCAUUUAGGACCAAUACUUAAAACCAUAACUAGGUCCCCCGUACACCAGUUUACGAUGUCUUGCUAAGACAGGACAUUACAAAGAUAUCUGACUUGCUAUGGUGGAAAACAGUAAGAACUGAGGCUGCAGGUAGGGAGUGGUCCUUGGUCUUACUGCUGGGCUUUAUAGUUAAAGAAGGUGCACACAUUCAAUCCUCCAUUUCAAUGAACACUCACUACUUAGUGUCUUAGGCAUUGAGUAGGUACUGAGGACACAGAGAAGAGUUUAACAGGCUCUGAGCACUUAUGUCACAAUCAAAUACAGAAGAUGGAUUUUAGCAUCCAGGCAGACAUGGAGUAAAGGAGUAAGUGCCUGACAGAAGAGGAAUGGGAUAUACUGGGCACCCACAGGAGGGAUGUGAAUUCAUACACACACUGAACACAACAAAGGACGGGAGGACAGCUGGCUCAAGGCACUGGGAGUCUUGGAUCAUUGCUGGAGCCUAGAGUGAGAGCAGGACAAAUGGGAGUCAUUCAGAUGUAAGGUGUCCCCCAAGCAGUCAUGUGUUAAAAGCUUGGUUCCCAAUGUCGCAGGGCUUUGGGGAAGUGAUUGAAUUAUGAGCACUUGGGCUGGAGAGAUGGCUCAGCAGUUAAGAGCACUGGCUGCUUUUCCAAAGGUCAUCAGUUCAAUUCCCAGCAACCACAUGGUGGCUCACAACCAUCUGUAAUUGGAUCUGAUGCCCUCUUCUGGUGUGUCAAGGACAGUGCGGUUAUAUACAUAAAUAAAUCUUAGAAUUGUGAGCACUUUAACUUUAUUGAAGGAUUAACAGCUUCAUCAUUUGAUGGCCUUAUUGAGGGUUCUGGUUAUGUCUUUGAUGAUCUUGUCCUUCUGUCCUGUGCUCCUGCUUUCUGGCCAGCCUGUUCCACUAUCCUCUUUACCAUGUUGCUGUUGGGGUUGCUCUGGUGCUGCUAUGUAUUCAAAUGCUAAUUACUGGACCCCAAGAUCUGGUUGCCCCCAAUGAGGAGAUCCUCAUGUACACCAAAUGAUGCUAUGUAACCUUGUUCCCCAAGUUAAUUGGUCAAUAAAACGUUAAAGCCUGUGAUCAGGCUGUAGAUAGAGGUAGGCAGGUUUUCAGUUACCUGCCUGAGGGUCGCAGGUAGAGACAAAAGAGGGGAAAGGAUGGAGAGAAGAGGAAGGCUCCAUGAGGGAGGUUUAUAGCUUAUGAAUAAAAUACCUGGAUCGUGUGUCUCUUAUACGGGCUAGCUAGCCAGAAUAUUUCAUUCAUUUUACAUGUUGCCUUGUCUCACCCACAGCAUUGGGGACAACCAAGUUUGGUUUGAAACCUCCAAAACAAACCUUCCCACACUUGAAACUGUUUCUCUCAGUUACUUGUCAGUCACUACAGACUGACUAACACAAGGCUCAUAGUUUAUUCCCAAUCUUUUACGUGGACAGGAACACCCUUUCUGUAGAUAUAGCAUUACAUAGGUUAGCCUUAUCCCAAGUAUCCUUGUCACUAUGGUUUUACUACUGUGAGGGUGUUGGGAGCUCAGCUGAAACCUCAUGAGUAUUUCUAAGGUUGCCAUAGGAACAUGCACCUUUGUUUUUAGAGCAAGUCCUAGCAUUGAGCACAGCUGUUUGGAAGCUGAGGAUUGGAUUGCUGGAGGAUGUGUUAGCAGGUCAUGGCGUCUUUCUCUUGACACUCCCAGGCAACAGGUUCGGGUGGUGGUAGUGGCUGUUGGUAUGUUUCUUCUUUCCUAGAGUCAGAUGUGGGGACCUAGAGCAGUGUGGGUGUUACUAUUGGCUUAGUAGAGUCUGAGGUUUAGGAAGUCACGUGCUUGGCUAUAGGAGGAGCUGCUACAAAGUAGAGGAGAGCUGUACCGUAGUGCCCCUAGUGGAUAACAAGGGCAGAGAGAGUAAACAGGCAAUUGCAGAGAAGAACAGAGCCAGCUGAUUAGAGAGGUAUAUGUGUCAGCGACAUAAUAAAUAUAACCAGUGAAACAUGGGCAACCAGAAACCAGAGAACUGAGCAACUAUCAGGGGCAAUCAUUACUUCAUUUUUCUUGUCUUUGGCUUUCAAAGAACUCCUGUGAGAAUUAUUGCCCAACUCUUAUGAAAGACAAAUUGAUUCAAACCUAGAGUUGAUAUUAGAACUGACCUGGUGUCUUAAUAUUUCUAUUGCUGGGAAGAGACACCAUGACCAAGGCAACUCUUCUAAAGGACAAUAUUUGACUGGGGCUGGCUUACAGGUUCAGAGGUUGAGUCCCUCAUUAUCAAGGCAGGAAGUGCAGCAGUGUCCAGGCAGGCACGGCAUUGGAGGAGCUGAGAGUUCUCUAUGUUCACCCAAAGGAAACCGGGGACAGACUGAAUCUCUCUUUCCUCCCUAGGUGGAGUUGAACUUAGGAGCCUCAAAGCCCACAGUGACACACUUCCUCUAACAAGGCUAUACCUCACAAGGUCGCACCUCCUAAUAGUGCCACUUCCCAUGGGCAAAGUAUGUUCAAACCACCACACCUAGAGUUGAUAUUACCACUAAAUAUGUGUCCAGUUCACAAAUGACUGUGCCAGUUGGUGUGUUAGGCUCAGAAAAAUAAAUGAUAGAAGGAGAUCUUCUAGAAAUCACCCCUGGGGGCAGGGUUUCAUGCCUCAGACUCAUAGUCAUAGACUCAUAGUGGAUUGGAUGCAAAGAUAAGAACAGCUCUUUCUAGCCAGGACCCGAAUAGAGCACCCCACCUGAAGACAUGUUUUGGCGGAGUCUGUCCAGCUCAGAGUGCAACAAAAUCAUUGUUUUUCUUCCUCCAAACCCUGUAUUUCUGUCAGUGACCUUUGAGUUCAUAAUACCUUACCCAUGGUGACUCAUGUGGAGCAGACAACAAAAGCUUGAGUCCCAUAAUCCUAUGCAGAAAGGCAUUUCUGUUGGUCCAGAAUGCUGGAACUGAGGGUGCUUUCUUCAGUGGGUGCUCCUGAGCUGCCCACUGUCGUCACCCAGUGUGAGCUCGAUAGUCUGCUCCUCCAUAAUUUGUGAAUUUCAUCGUCUUAUUUUCUCGACUGAAAAGUGUGUUUUCCUACCUGAGUCUUUAGGGAUCUUUCCCUCUCCCUAAACUGAGGGUUGACUGUGUAUCGUCUGGGUCCUGGACUGUAAUUUGUGGAAGCUAGGACACAGGUUCAUUUAGAUCGUGUGUAUUUCCCCUUAUACUAUUUUUACUUGUAAUUGUCAGUCUCUGAUACUGCAGUGCUAACGCCUCACAGACUUAAAAGAAAUCUUUUCAUUCAUAGUUCCAAAGGCCAGAUAUCCAAAACCGAUGUGCUGAGAAGUCACAGGAGUCAUCAAGGGAGCGUCUUUCCUCUGGUCCCCAUUCGUGUCCCGUGGCUUACAGAGGCAACACUCCAGUCAUGUUACAUGCUCUAACUUAACAACCUUUCUGUAUGUCUCUGUCUUCACAUGGCAUUUUCCCCAUGCCUCCUUUCUCCAUGGAGAAACCAGUCACAUUGGAUUAGGGCCUACUCUGAGUAAUGGCCUCAUGGUAAAUUGAUUAUGCAAGUAAAGAUUCCAUUUCCAAAUGAUGUAUCAAGGGUUAGGGCCUCAGUGCAUUUUGAAGGGAGGGGACAUAACUCAACCUGUAGCAUCUGUGUCAGGUAAAGGCAUAACAUGAAGCGAAGGCUGACGCAGGGUUGUCUGAGUGUCACCUGGGUUCCCACACACCCUUCCCUUAUGAUUCUAGAGCUUAAAUUCAGUGAGAAGCGCUGUGUUCGCCUUGUUUGCGCUAAGCACUUGCUGCCGUGUGAGUUUGUAACACAACUAAGAAGACAGAUGAUUGGGCAGGAGAGAUGGCUCAGCAGUUAAGAGCACUGGCAGCUCUUCCAGAGAGGUACUGAAUUCAACUCCCAGCAACCACAUGGUGGCUCACAACCAUCUAUAAAGGGGACAACCAUCUACAAAGGGGUCUGAUGCCCUUUUCUGGUAUGCAGGUGUACAUGGAGACAGAAUAUUUAUAUGUUAAAAAGACCAUAAAUUGGAGGAAGAGGAAGAUGAGGAGGAGGAGGAGGAGGAGGAAGAAGAGGAGGAGGAGGAGGAUGAGGAAGAAGAGGAGGAAGACGACGACGACAACGAAGAAGAAGAAGGAGGAGGCAGAUGAUUGGUGGAAAGUGGGGUUGUGAGUUCUGUGCAUCAAGGUGACUAGUUCAAAAGCAAACAGGCAAAGUGCUCUUUGGUUCUGCCAUUGUUGGCUGUGUAUAAUUCAAACUUGAAUGUCUUCUUCCCACACUUGGAAUGGGAUCUCCUAAUACUUAGUGCUAACUCUGGGUUCCUGGUUAUAUCCACGCUGGGCCAGGCCAUAGCUCUGUAGGUAAAGGAUUUUACUUGCAAGCAUGAGGACCUGACCUUUGUCCCCCAAAAACAUGUUUAAAAAGACAAAACACCAGUCACAACAGCUUGUAUUUGUUAUCCCACUGCUAAAGAAGUCAGGAGAGCCCGACUCUCGCAGUCAUCCAGCCUAGUCCUUGGCUGAGUUUCAGGGCAACAAGAAUAUAUCUCAAAACAAAAACCAAACCAAACCAAAACAACAAAAACAACAACAAAAAAAUAAAUAAAAACCCAAAAAAACAUCUUAAGGGCAGCUGAGGUUGUCGAUGGCUCCCAUGUGCACAGGCACACACGUGUGCGUUUGGAAAGGUGUACAGGAGGUUUAUUCAUGGCAACAUUAACAUGCAUGUCAGAGGCUAUCAAACUUCUCGUUUUAAAGAUCAAAUUCGACUUAGUGCAGGGUUGAAGCCUGAGGCCUUUAUGUCUAGUUAGGGCUCUAACUCCGGCCUCGCGGUCCUACCUAGCAACCACGGGGCGUGGCUGACCUCACCCAGAGGUGCCACCAAGCCCAGACUGUCCGCCAGAGGCAGUAGGUGGGUGACUGGGUGCAUGGCUACUCGUGCCUGGCGGGGCGCCCGUCUUUCUCUUAAGGAAAUUCUUUUUAUUCUGUCCACAUAAUAAAGUACAUUUACACCAGCGUGGAUAUCUGAUCCGUGGAAAGAUCAGAGAGAACCUGGCACGCGUUCCUCCGUACUAAGCAACCAAUCCCACCUCCUGGCUCUAAGGUUAAAAAAAAAGAAAAAAAAAAAUCAACAAGAUAAUCUCAGCUUGUAGCCGCCCCAGGAACUUCCUGGUUCUGCAUAACCACGCCUUCCGUUUCUAUGGCAAUGGGUCCCUCCCCCUCAGAAAGCCAGCCCUACUUCAGUUAAAACACAUAGGCAAGCGUUCUCUUCUUCGCUGACAUUGAUGGCUUUGCUUAUAGAAUUUUUUCCUUUCCCUCCCUCGGCAGGUCUCGUUGGCUAACCUUAUUUCUCACAGGGCAUUAAACCUUUUUAUAAAACCACUAGAAGUAGCAGUGAUGGGCGUUGCCGGCUGCGAUGACAACAUUCUAAACUAUAAGUAACUGGAAUCGCCCUGGUGGACUGACUUGCCACAACGCGCGUGCUCUCUCAGCUGACGCCCUUUUCCAGUCUUCUAGGACUAAAGCUUGGCUGUCUCCUGCCCAUCCGGGUUCCAGAGUCUCAGCGGAUGCUCCGGCUCUUGCGGACUUAAGGUGCCUUUCUGAAGGAAACAGGCUUGUGUUUACUGAGCAUCCAAUAACUCAGAGCUUUAAGCCAAAGUGGAUGUUAAAUUAGACACCUUGUCUAAGGGGAAUAAAUUGAGAACUGGGCUUUAGUCCUCACUGGCUACCUCUUCCAGUGUGUCACUGUAGGGCAAUAUCUUUGGAAGCAGUCUGUGGGGCUUCAGCCCUCUUGAUCCUGUAACCCCAAGGAAUCUUACUGUGAAUGUCAGCACUGGGUUCUGAUUAAGGUAGGCUCAGAUUCUCUCUACAGCAGGUCCCCUAAUUUGGGGGGUGAGUUCCAAGAUCCCUGUGGAUGUCUGAAACGGGGUUGUACUGAACCCUAGAUGUGUUACAUAUUCCCAUAAGUACCUGCGUAGCUGUGAUGACUUUUACUUUUGGUGGUACAUUUUACAUAGAAAUUAGGAGCGACGAAAGUUGACAGCUGAUUAAAGUAGAGAACAAAAGCAGUAGACAGUAAGCAGGUGAUAUGUUGUUCGUAAAAUAGCUUUUUACCCUUCUACUUAAAGGAAGCACUUUGCAUCUCUCUGGUACAGCUACACAGCUUCUGCACCCAGGGUCCUUAUUAAGUUAGUAAAGCGUAGUUGAACACGGGCACUGAUGGAUCUACAUAAGGAGGAGGCUGACAACUAACAGUUGGGCAGCCACACAACACUAAGCAAAGGGACCGUUCCGAGCAGGUCACAGCAUGAGAGUUCAUCACGCCUGUCAGAAUGGCACCAGUCAUACUCCUCUGCGCCUCCAUUUUCUAAUUAACGUAACAAGAGUGUGAUGACUAAUCUUGGUUGACAACUUGAAAUGCCUGGGAAGAGGGGGGGGGAUGGUUGGGAAAUUGUCCCCAUCAGAUUGGCCCAGGAGCAUGUCUGUUGGGGGUGGGUGGUCGGUGACUGCUAAUUGAUGUAGGAGAGCCCAGUUGACAAUUCCAUCCCUAGGCUGAUGGGUCUAGGCUGAAUAAGAAAGAUAACUGAGCAAGCUAGAGGGAGCGAAGCAAAUCGGCCCGUCAGCACGUCAGCACGUAAGCUAGUGGUAUCACUGAAGCCCUGGUAGAUUUUAUGAGUUCAUUCAGGAACCUGUACUUCUGGAGCUGGGUUUAUAUAAGACUCAAUAAACUUUUGAUUAUUGGAGCCAAGAAUAGAGUAAAGCCGGGUAUGUAGCAUACACCUAUAAUCCCAGCACUCAGAAGGCUGUGGCAGGGGGAUCAAGAGUACCAGCGAGCAUAGUGAGUUCUACACCAGCCUGGGAUGUGUCGGGAGAUCUCGUCGAACAGCAGGAUAAACAACAACAACCCUCAGAAUUCUAUGUAACUUCCGUUCUCAUCUUACUUUCAUUAAAGCCAGCAUAUGAGAGAGGACAGGCUCAUACAGGAGAGGCCUAUCUGUGUACUUCACAGGACCAGUCUGGCCUCAGCCUCCUUCCCACGUGCUUAGCUUUCUCCUCCUGGCUUCCUUGUGGACCUUGGAGGCUUCUCACACAGAUUCUCGGUGCCAGACCAGCCCCAAGAAGGGAGAGAGUUUCUGCUCCCCACCACUGUUUCCUUUUUUUUCUUUUUUUUAGAGAAAGCCUGGCACCAGCAUCUCACUCUCUCUUCCAGCCAGCAGACUUCCUGGAAAGACUGGAGGAGACCAGUUUCCCUUUUGGUCUUCUUCCAGAGUCAAAGCUAUCUAUGCCUUUUAAUGUCAGCCAUAAUUUUUGGACAUGGAGCCCUCAGGAUUUCUUUCCAUGUCCUCUUCUGAGAGGACACAUUGCAGUGAAGGCUGACCUACCUAGUGCCCUCUGAGAGUAGAGUGUGUCUGGGCCUCGAGCCAAGAGGUCACAGUACCACUGGAGGGGAGGGCAUGGGAGCUGGAAAACAGGAGCAUCUGGGUCACAGUAGAAGGAAAGAAUAUAAGAUUUUGCUUGGACCUGUCACUGGGUGUUGUGCGAGUCCUGGGGCCAUGCCACCAGGAACUCAUGGCUGAUAUAGAGGUUCCCCAAUCCUUCCCUGAUGCCUUUCUACCUCUGCUCUCUGUUCUUUGUUCUCCUGCUUUGUUUGUUUUGUGUGUGACAGGCAUCCUGCCCUCUCCCCUACUCUUUACCAGCUCCAUCCAACAAACCUUAUUUAGCCUCUGUGAUAUGCAGGGCACUGGGCUACAGUGGUCACUACCACUAAAAGGAUUUAGGUAUUUUAAUGAGAGACCAGCAUAAACAUCCUCAUUAGACAAGAAAGGUAAUAAAAAUAAAUCCCAAAUACUUUUUUAUCUGCAUUCUCUACCUCAGACCGGAAGGGAUAAAUGGAUGUGGCUCUAGCUGACAGGAUAGUUUCUGUGGUGGGCAAGAAUUUGGGUUACAGGGCUGGAGAGACGGCUCAGCGGUUAAGAGCACCCGACUGCUCUUCCAGAGGUCCUGAGUUCAAUUCCCAGCAACCACAUGGUGGCUCACGACCAUCUGUAAUGGGAUCCGGUGCCCUCUUCUGGUGUGUCUGAGGACAGCUACAGUUACUCAUAUAUAAUAAAUAAAUAAAUCUUAAAAAAAAGAAUUUGGGUUACAGACGGAUAGAGGUAUGAACCUCAGUUCUGACAAGCUGUGUGUGUGUGUGUGUGUGUGUGUGUGUGUGUGUGUGUGUGUGUGAAGAAGGGCAAUCAUCUAAUCUCUCUGGCCUUUGUCUCUAAAAUGGUAGGCUCAGGUAGAGAAAGUUCUUUCUGUACUCUCCCCCCCAACCCCAGAGAUGGGUGGGGUGCAGAAAGGAGAGAGACACAGAGAGAUUGUACAAUGUGAGAACUAGGUGAAAUGUUGCCUAAAUGGUGUUAGCCUAGUCCCUGGUACAUAACAAGACUCAAACAAAUCACAUAUCAUUGCUGCUUUACCUACUUGGGCCUAGGAGUCAGGCACACAUUUUUUCUAAAGAGCCAGACAGUAAACACCUCGGCCUCGGUGGACCAACGCAGCAUCAGAGCAGCCACUCACUUUACUGAGGAACAGCCAUGGGCAUGGGUGAGCAAGAGGUCAAACUUUCCCAUCGCAGAAGGCUUUUGCUGUGACUUUCUCCAAAUCACUUUGACUAUCAACAUAAAAGCCAUCCCCACUGCACAGACUGUGUAGAAAACAGGCCAGGAGCCAGGCGUUGGCCUGCUGGCUACUUGGCCCACCCCUGCAUAAGCUGAGUGAAAUGGUGGGCACUCCUUUUUGUAGCUUUCACUUCACAGCAAAGUCCAACUGGAAGUCUCCAGUUCCCCUCUGUGUCAGUAUCUAGAUGCAAGCCAGACUGACACAGUUAUAGCCCAAUCCAAAGAUUGCAUGAACCUCACACAUAAAAGUAAUGCCUACACUUGACUUGUGCAUGAGCCAAGACAACAAUGCUUCCCAAGAUAAUGCUUCAACAAGAUAAGACAUGGAAGAGACAAUCUGGGCUUUGCAAAUGUAGGCAUGCUGCUCUUGACAGAUGCCAGGGUUUGACUUUGUUUCUUGGUGUGGUGAGCUGAGAAGCUGUUGUGAGAGAUACUGGACUGAGGGUCACAGGCUUUGUCAGAAGGCAUCAGAAUGCAUGUUUAGUGAAGAGACCUGGAGAGUGCAAAGGAGGUAGGAAGAACCUCCUGGAAAGAGGCAGUCCUAAACAAUAUGGGAGUCAGAUCAUAAAUGAGUCCGCUGUGACACCCUGGGUUCUCCCAAGCAGUGCACGCUUCCUCUUGCCUUGCCUUUCCGUGUUUCUCUUAAAUAAUUGUAGAUAUAAAUAGAGUACUUUGCUGUCCUUUCUUCCGAAAUGUGAGAAGACUCUCAGUUUCAAUUUUAUAUCAAGUUUCCUGCGGGCCACAGAUUUUUUUUUCUCCAAUAACAUAAAGUAACUGCCAAAUCCAGAGGUAUUGCAAUUUAUUAAUAUUAAAUUUAAAUAAUAAUAAUCAUUAAAGUUGCUUCUCAUGAGCCAGAGGAAAUUAAGACCUUUUUCAUAAAGCCAUCCAAGAAUCUAGUUCACUCUUGCAUAUAGAGUCCUCAGCAUCUCCAGCCACUAUCCUUAGAGAGAGAAUAGCUUAUCUAGCCAAACAGAUCCCUCUAACAGCCUUCAAUGCUGGAUGCCAUGCCAAUAACUACUGACUCGUUGGAGCCUCUCCUCCAGGAAAACCAUGAAUGUCUUAGUCACUAUUCCAUUGCUGUGAAGAGACGCCAGGACCAAGGAAACUCUUUUGAAAGAAAGCAUUUAAUUGAGGACUCGUUAUAGUUUCAGAGGGUGAGUCCAUGAUCAUCAUGGUGGGGAACAUGGCAGCACGGUAGCACACAUGGCUCUAGAGCAGUAGCUGAAAGUUCUACUUACUAACACACUUCCUCCAUUAAGGCCACACCUCCUAAUCCUUCUAAUCAUUUCAAAGAGUUCCACUCCUUAGUGACCAAGCAUUCAAAUAAACGAGCCUAUGGGGUCAUUCUUAUUCAUCCACUACAGCAAGCAUAGACAUUUCCAUCUAGACACUUUGGAUCACAGGUAACCAGCUGCCUCCCUGCCGACUUGCUUUUGUGUUUUAACUGGUAUAUGAUGAAGGGGGGAAGCAAGACGCAAUCUCAGGCACCAUUAGAAAGGAGAAAGGAAUGGAACUAGGUCACAGUAUACGCAACAGCCCACCAGGUGGUGUGGGAGUCAGGAGGAAGACCAGGGGAGGAAAAAUCAACAGAAGAUGUUGUAUAUACUAAUUUUUAUUAAUAUUUUAUUUACUUUUACUCUAUGUAUAUGGAUGCUUCGCCUACAUGUGCGUCUGGGAACCACAUGCAUGCAGCGCCCAGCGGGCCCAGAGGGAGCAUCAGAUCCUCCAGAACUGCAUUUACAGACAGUUGUUAGCUGCCCUGUGAACCUGGGAGAGCAGAUCACGCAACAUACAUGCAACUCAGCACAUAUUGUAGUUCCAAACACGGCAUCCUGAAAAAUGAUUGAGUGUCCUGCCUGUCACCCAGGGUAACAUCACCAUCACUGCCUGGAAGAACAUAGUCGAAGUGACCAGAUUCUUAUGUGAGGCACUUCAGAAACAGUCAAAUGGUUCAGCACCUGUCUGGUAAAGAUCCCUUUGAGUUGUCUUUGUAGAUGGGCUCUGCUGGGAAAGUGGACUUUGCAAGUUAAAAGGACAGCUGCCCUCCCUUAAGAGUGACACGGAUCCUGUGGGGACAGUGUCUACACUGAUCAUCUCUGUGACAGAUGAUGUUCACUGUCAACCUGACUGGAUUCAGGAUCACCGUGGAAACACACUUUGGAUGAGUCUAUUAGACUGUUUCCAAAAGAGUUUAAACUGUAGAGCGAAGAUGUACCAUGAAUGUGGGUAGUGUAAUCCUAUAGGUUGUGUCCUGGUCUGAAUAGAAGAGAGAGCUGGGCACCAGCGUUCGUCUCCUGACUGCAGAUGCGAUGUGACCAGUCAACUCCUGCCGCUGGGCCUUACCCACCAUGAAGGAAUCUUAAACCACGAGCAAGAGUAAACCCUUCUUCCUUAAGUUGCUAUGGUCAAAUAUUUUGGUUAUGGCAACAAGAAAAAUAGUUAAUGCACAAAGGCACUAAAUUGUGCUUUACAGUCUAUUUACAUGUCUAUGUUAUUACUGGAUGCAAGUAAAUACCGGAAGUAAUGAGAAAUCAGCAUCACUUGGACAUUUUCCAAUCCCUCCCCACUUUUUUCAGUGCUGGACACUUUUUUCAGUGCUGGAGAGAGAACAGAGGGAUUCAUGUUAGCCCAGGCUUUACCUCAGUCAUAUCUCAGUCUUGCACUUCACUCCUGCUUUUACGAGUUCUGAGCUAGGGAGCUCCACUAAACCGUCCAGUCCUGGAAGAAUAUGUGGUAGCUGACUGAUGACGGGGAGGAGUAAGGACACCACACCUUCCUAGAGACCUCUCACGGCACUCUAACUUACCAAGGGCGUCUAAGGGCUGCGGUAUAGCUCAGUGGUAGAAUGCUUGCUACCUGAUAUGAGGGAGGCUCUAUGUAAGUUCCAUCCACAGUGCCAUCAAAACAAGCAAGCCGAAAUAGUAGAUCCACUAAGCAUCCUUUGAGAGUUAUUGAGAAAGAGAUGACUAUUGUUUAUGCAAAGGUGUAGUUUUUACCCUCCUGCAAAACUCUUAUCUGUAAAAUUGCAUCAAGUUAGAGGCCAAAAUCAAUAUUGAAAGCAAAAUAUUACCAAAUGAGAUGUAUCUUGUUAUUUUUACUGCCCGCCCUUAAGUCUUUCCAGUAUUACCAAAGGAAAAUAUUUUCAAAAAUAGCCCAACUGUUUUUUACACACAGUUCAGUUGCAGUGACCUUUUGCAGUAACUCAAACAAGAUAUCAUAGGCAACUUUUAUUUAGGGACCUAGACAUGGUUAUAUUAUAUUGUUCUAAAUUAAAAACUGAAAUCAAAACUAUUUGUUUUUUCUUUUUAUUGAAUUAUUCUUCUCACACAUGUAUCCUGAUUGUAGUUUUCCCUCCCUCUACUCCUCCCAGUUCCUCCCUACAUCCCCUACAUCCAGAUCCAGCCCCCUCUCUGUCUCUCAUUAGAAACCAAAGAGGCUUCUAAGGGAUAAUAAUAAAAUAUGACAAAGUAAAAUAUAGUAAGAUAAAACAAAAUCCAUCAUGUUGUGGUUGGACAAGGAAAACAAACAGAAGGGAAAGAGCCCAAGGGAAGGCACAGGAAACAAAUACCCACUGUGGACACACUCAGGAAUCCCAUAGAAACACUAAGUCAUAAUAUAGACACUGAGGCCCUGCGCAUGCUGCUUCAGCCUCUGUGUUCACAUGAGCCUUGCUCAGAAAAUGUUGCUGUAUGACUGUGUGUGUUUGUGUACAUGCCACGGCACACAUGUGAGGUCAGAGGACAAGUUGGUUCUCUCCUUCCACUUUGUGGGUCCUGAAGCUUGAACUCAGAUCGUCAGGCUUGGCAGCAAGCGCCUCAACUUGUAGAGCCAUCUCAUUGGCCUUAAAAUUUUGCUUCUAAUGAAGACAAGGAUCAAUGAAAGGAAAGUGACCUAAUAAAAGUCAUGGUACGCGUUAAAGAGAAAAAAGGAAGGAGAAGAAGGAAGAAGAGAGGAUGAGAAGGAAACAUGAUGUGGGUCUCUUGUUUCCGGCCGUCACUCACCUACGCAUUCAUCCAUUCAUUGUGCUGUUCCAACUCAUGAGACGGUGCAUGAGUGCUCACUGGGCAAGGACGUGUGGAAGGGGACUGAAAGUAGCAUUUAGCUGGGUUGUGGUGGCGCAAAUCUUUUGCCCCAGCACUUGGGAGGCAGAGGCAAGCAGAUCUCUCAAUUUGAGGCCAGGCUGGUCUACAGAGCGAGUUUCAGGACAGUCAGGGCUACACAGAGAAGCGUCUUUAAAAAAAAUAAAGGUUUUAUCAUUUCUUUCUGGGUAUACAUAUGUGUGUGCGCCUGCAUGAGUUUACCAUAUGCAUGCAGGUUUUGGCAGAGGUCAGUGUCAGUGUCAGGUCCCCUGAGACUGAAGUCACAGGUGACUGUGAGCCACCAUCAUGGGUGCUGAGGACAAACGAUAGUCUCCUGCAAGAACACUCAGCACUCUUAACACAGAGCCAUCUCUCCAGCCCUGAAACUUUACACCUUGUAUGUGUUUCCCCUCUGGCGAAAUACUGUUCUCUUUUCCUGUCCUUCCUGAGUCAAAGUUCCAUUAGGUGUCAUCAUCAUCAUCAUCCCAAAAACUCUCCUGACACAGGGAAGCCCCAUGUGCUCCCUUUCAGUUAGCAGCAAGGCUGGCACAUCCUGUUACAGCUGCUACCACACGCCUCAGCCAUUAUUUCUUCAAAUGUCUACCUUCACUGGCUGAGAGUGAAUUCCCAGUUCCAGUUUGUAUAGUAAGUGCUCAAUAAACAUCAGUUGUUUGUUCUACAAUGGCAGGUGUAGGGAGCCAUAUUGGAUUUGGGCCUGGCCGCUUUGUGACUGUAUGGCCAUAAAGUCUUGAGAUUGUUGGACAAAAGCCUCUCCCAUGAAUUUACAGCACAAGAAGAUAACAAUCAGCCCGAACAAAUACCAAGUAUCUCCUGAGCAAACACCCGGGGUCUCCACCGCAAGACCCCUGCUGAGCCCGGCUGCUGCUUGUGGAACUGACACACCUGGGCCACACCUGGGCGGAGGUCAAUUCGCUCCUGCCUUUUGCUUUCUCAGCCUUUGUCCUUGAGAUUUAGGCUGGUCUUCUGGGAUUUCUCCCUAAUUAAUUCAGGUCUCUUAGUUGGUCUUUUGUUACCGAAGCCAGGUAGUCAUGAGCCAGGGUUUCCCACUGUGCUUCCCAGAUAUUUUCUACCUGGGGAACUUGGGUAUAUAAGUGGUGAAUAAAGCUACAGGAGUCUCUCUCUCUCUUCCUCUCCUGGCUUGACACGAAUAACCUGUGUGUGUGUGUUUCUUUAAUCCCGCAGGCUUUCGCCCGAUUCUCGGUACCGUGUUGGUGCAGGCACCGACAGGCAGGUAGAAAGAAAGGGCAGUGGAUUGUUGAAUAACUCCUAGGUACACCAGAUUCUAUGCUAUCUUCUUGUGCUCACUUCCUCCUUGCAUAGAAGAUCAUUAUGUAGCCCAGGCUGACCUGGAAUUCCAUAUGUAGACCAGGCUGGCCUACAGAGACCUAACUGCCUCUGCCUUCAAGUGCUGGAAUUAAAGGUGUGUGCCACCACACCAUUAUGCAUCACACAACGAUGAGGAUAGUUCUGAGGUGAAUUCUCAGUUGAUCUCAUGGUGGUAACACCACAGAAUAUGCCUGACGACACCCCAGUGGUCCAGGGGACUAUCCAUCCUGGCUUCAUUGAAUGUAAAUAUGUAUAUGGUAUUACUUACUGUCCCCAGGGCCACAAUAGAUAAAGCUCCAUGGCAUGAGAGAAAAUGACGCAAUGAAGAGUGACAAAAAGGACAAGCCCCGAGGUCACUGCUCACAUGCUGUGGUGCGCUGUUUGUAGUAAUCGUGCUUCUUUGUAAGUAGGGGAAGUGGAGGCUGGUGGAAUGGCUCAGUCAGUAAAAAUCGUGUUGUGUCAGCAUGAGUGAAAAAAACGAUCCAGACCUCAAAAGAUAAGGUGGAGAUCUAUUGAGGAAGAUGCCUGAUAUUGACCUCUGGCCUCUACAUAUAUAUAUGUACCCACAUACAUGUACACACAUAUACAUGCACAAAAUAAAUGAGGAGGGUUUUUUUUUUUAAAUAAUAAGAGUAUAAUGUAUAAAACCUUAAGCUGCUCUUCCUUGUUAAGGACCCUGCACUGUGUGUAGCUGUGUGCUUGAGGCCAUGGGAUUGGCAGGGCAGCAGGUUUGUUUACACAGCGUCCCGGCACUCAUAGGAAAAGUGCCUUGCACACCGUGAUGACUUCAGCAUCACCAGGCUCAGCUCCCUCCAUCCCAGUCCUGUGAGACAGCGCUGCACAUGUGACCCGGUGCCAACCAGACUUUCCCUACACAUCACAUGACUGUGUGCAUAUGAAUAAAAUUGGGACUGAAAACCACUUUAUUAGAAGUAAGAGAAUAUUGUCAGACUGGGAGCGCCAUGCCAGUUCUACUUUGAAUGAAUGGUACUCUUGGGGCUUAGUUAUCUUUACUUUGAAGGGGUCUAAUACUUGAAGUCAGUGUUUUACCAAGCAACGUGAUGUAUACAUGGCUGAAAUUCAACCUUUUAGCACAGUUUAUACCAAAACAUGUGAGAGUUCAAGGGGCUAUCAGCUUGAUUUUAACAAUAAGAUCGCCUCAGUGAUGUUAGCAUAGCCUAUGUGGUACCCAUUUGGAUUCAGUGGCUUGUGAUGGGGGUGCUCUACCAACAGUCCUAUAUCUUUUUAGUAACUUGUACUGUUGGGACUUUACCCAUUGGUCCGCCCUGUCUGUAGUCAGUGGCUUGGAUGGAGGGACUCUACUCAUGUGUCUUUUGGAUUGGAACAUCACUUCUUAUAUGGUUCCUACCUACAAAUGUUCUCCAUCUGUGUUGUGGGCAUGAUAUCUUCUAAAUUGUAUGAAAAAUUCUUUAAAAACUAUUCCAUUGACCACAUACACACUCUCCUAUUGUUCUGAUUUGUGAUCACCCACAAAAGAUACUACUAGCAAGUGACCUUUGGGCCAUGACCAGUGUAUUCUGCACGUCCUUGCUGUCUCCAGCAAGGGCGUAUGUGAUCUUUCACAAUUCAUCACCCCUUUCCUCACUGGACUCUGCUCGAGUCCAUGUUGGGAAAUGUGCUCUGUAGACCAUUUGCCUUUUUAGUUUGGAAAGGGAACAGACAUUGAAACAUGUGAGUGACUGGGGACUGACAAGCCUCCUGCCAAACUGUGAUAACCGAGUGGCCUGCCAGCUUGUUUCUGAGCGUUGUUUGGCAUAGACACUUACACAAAUGGCACGUCUAUCAGCUUCCCUAGGUAAGCGGUUCUCAGUCUAUGGGUAGUAACCCCUUUGGGGGGAGAAAAACCCUUUCAACAGGGGUCGACUAAGACCAUAAGAAAACAUGGAUAUUUACAUUACGAUUCAAAAGAGUAGCAAAAUCACAGUCACAAAGUAGCAACGAAAAUAAUUUUAUCACUGGGGGUCAUCACAACAUUGGAAUUGUAUUAAAGGGUCACGGCAUUAGGAAGGUUCAGAACUCCUACUCUAGGCUCAUAUUUCCUUGAGGGUUCAAUAGAGUGGGGACAGAACAAAUGAAUAAGAAGACCCAACUUCUGGGAGCUCUGUUUCUUGAGGGACAGUGGUUCCAUUUCCCGUGAUUUAAAGAAACUGAUCUUUGUUUCUCCUGGACCCAGCACGAACCACCAUCACUCUUCCCUGUUACAUGUCAUCCAGCACGUCCUGUUGACGGAGAGUCACUUGGGGAAGGAGCUCUUUGCGGAGGAGAUAGUCCUGGGUUCCAAGGCUGGGUGCCAAUAGACUGUCAGGACGCUAUGUCAUGCCACUGGCAUAGCAUGAUAGCAUAUGUCCACAGCAGUCCAUCGGUCUGUGUAUUAACAUUUUAACAUCCCAUAUACUUUUGACUCUUAAGUUUUGUUUUAUUAGUGUGCAUACCCCAAAGUGACUAAGCAUGAGACUUAAGGCACACUUACUAGUGAGGAAAGAAACCAGCCAAUCACUCAAUCAAAACGGUUUAAGGUCUUAGCAGCACGUGGUUAUAACAUGGUGCCGCUGGAGAGUUAGAUGAGGGCAAGUUCAACUCAGUUCUCUCACAUGCUGGUCUCCAAAGUUAAGCCAGCGCAAACAGGAGCCUCAGGUUGGGCUAACUCUCCCUUCGCUCCUCCAGCACAAAGUGACAAAGAACCGAUGUCCAGGCAGUUGGCAAGGACAUUUGAGACUCAAUUCUUGGACUCUAAAGCCAGUGAAAACAAGCAGUGAAGACAUUGCUGGGCGAAGGGACUUCUGUAAGAGAGAAGUUUGCAAAGGAGAGUGAAGGCACCAAGUCAUACCCUCUGCCACCUCAGGGUACUUGGAAGUGUCUCCACCUGCCAAGAGAUCAGCUCCAGAUGAGGCCUCUUAACCUCAAACUUUCAGCUUCUAGAACCGCUGGCUGAGUGAACGUGUAUUAUUUAUAAGGGAUCCAAUUCCUGGUAUUUGGUUGUAGCAACAGAAAACUGACUAUGACAGACAUAUUGAGCUCCAAUUGUUUGUGAACAACAUGGAAAUGUCAGCAGCUGCUGAGUUCUCUUUUCUAACCUCAGGAGAGAGGCCUGGGUAGAAAAGAAGGAUUAGAGACGAAAAAGAAAUCCAGGAGAGGAAACCAUUACACUAAGCAAUAUUAGGCAGGCAAAGGUCACAGUGCCUUCCGUGUUUAACCCUUUCAAUGCCCGAAUAAAGUCAAUAACCACCAUGA